GUAGGUGGCAAGCGUUGUCCGGAAUUAUUGGGCGUAAAGCGCGCGCAGGCGGUUCUUUAAGUCUGAUGUGAAAGCCCACGGCUCAACCGUGGAGGGUCAUUGGAAACUGGAGAACUUGAGUACAGAAGAGGAAAGCGGAAUUCCACGUGUAGCGGUGAAAAGCGUAGAGAUGUGGAGGAACACCAGUGGCGAAGGCGGCUUUCUGGUCUGUAACUGACGCUGAGGCGCGAAAGCGUGGGGAGCAAACAGGGAUUAGAUACCCUGGUAGUCCACGCCGUAAACGAUGAGUGCUAAGUGUUAGGGGGUUUCCCGCCCCUUAGUGCUGCAGCUAACGCAUUAAGCACUCCGCCUGGGGAGUACGGCCGCAAGGCUG
RNAcentral lists this ribosomal RNA (373 nucleotides) under uncultured organism. RNAcentral describes it as "partial 16S ribosomal RNA". It matches the Rfam family "Bacterial small subunit ribosomal RNA", at positions 527 to 896 of the family's 1533-position model. The record is from RNAcentral.